RNAcentral lists this unclassified non-coding RNA (171 nucleotides) under uncultured Sordariomycetes. Its description in RNAcentral is "sequence contains ITS1". The record is from RNAcentral. Lineage: Eukaryota; Fungi; Ascomycota; Sordariomycetes.
CCGAGUUUACAACUCUCCAAACCCCUGUGAACAUACCUAUCGUUGCUUCGGCGGGAUCGCCCCGGUCGCCUCGCGCGCCGGAACCAGGCCCCCGCCGCAAGAAAACACCAAACUCUUGUUUUUUAUUCAGUUUUUCUUCUGAGUGGCUUCUAAAGCAAAAAAAUCAAAUUA